Molecule: ribosomal RNA, 497 nt
Filed under: uncultured bacterium
Lineage: Bacteria
Description: partial 16S ribosomal RNA
Rfam family: Bacterial small subunit ribosomal RNA
Source: RNAcentral
GAUGAACGCUGGCGGCGUGCCUAAUACAUGCAAGUCGAGCGAACGGACGAGAAGCUUGCUUCUCUGAUGUUAGCGGCGGACGGGUGAGUAACACGUGGAUAACCUACCUAUAAGACUGGGAUAACUUCGGGAAACCGGAGCUAAUAACGGCUAAUAUUUUGAACCGCAUGGUUCAAAAGUGAAAGACGGUAUUGCUGUCACUUAUAGAUGGAUCCGCGCUGCAUUAGCUAGUUGGUAAGGUAACGGGUUACCAAGGCAACGAUGCAUAGCCGACCUGAGAGGGUGAUCGGCCACACUGGAACUGAGACACGGUCCAUACUCCUACGGGAGGCAGCAGUAGGGAAUCUUCCGCAAUGGGCGAAAGCCUGACGGAGCAACGCCGCGUGAGUGAUGAAGGUCUUCGGAUCGUAAAACUCUGUUAUUAGGGAAGAACAUAUGUGUAAGUAACUGUGCACAUCUUGACGGUACCUAAUCAGAAAGCCACGGCUAACUACGUG